CCUACGGGAGGCAGCAGUGAGGAAUAUUGGUCAAUGGACGAGAGUCUGAACCAGCCAAGUAGCGUGAGGGAUGACUGCCCUAUGGGUUGUAAACUUCUUUUAUAUGGGAAUAAAUUGUUCCACGUGUGGGAUUUUGUAUGUACCAUAUUAAUCAGGAUCGGCUAACUCCGGGCCAGCAGCCGCGGUAAUACGGGGGGUGCAAGCGUUAUCCGGAUGUAUUGGGUUUAAAGGGUGAGUAGGUUGUGAGGUAAGGCAGCGGUGAAAUGGCGCCGCUCAACGGGGUGAAGUGCCAUUGAUACUGCCGUGCUGGAAUGCGGAUGCCGUGGGAGGAAUGGGUGGUGUAGCGGUGAAAUGCGUAGAUAUCACACAGAACACCGAUUGCGAAGGCAUCUCACGAAACCGCGAUUGACGCUGAUGCACGAAGGCGUGGGUAUCAAACAGGAUUAGAUACCCCAGUAGUC
RNAcentral lists this ribosomal RNA (461 nucleotides) under uncultured bacterium. Its description in RNAcentral is "partial 16S ribosomal RNA". It matches the Rfam family "Bacterial small subunit ribosomal RNA", at positions 338 to 795 of the family's 1533-position model. The record is from RNAcentral.